CCCUUAGAUGUCCUGGGCCGCACGCGCGCUACACUGACAUGUUCAACAAGCCUCCUAGUUCGACAGGAUUUGGGAAAUCUUUGAACGCAUGUCGUGAUAGGGAUAGAUCAUUGCAAUUAUUGAUCUUGAACGAGGAAUUCCUAGUAAACGCGAGUCAUCAGCUCGCAUUGAUUACGUCCCUGCCCUUUGUACACACCGCCCGUCGCACCUACCGAUUGAAUGUUUCGGUGAGGAUUCCGGAUAGGACUUUUUUGAUUUAUUUCAAUUCUGUCUUAAAAGCUAUCUAAACCUCAACAUUUAGAGGAAGGUGAAGUCGUAACA
RNAcentral lists this ribosomal RNA (321 nucleotides) under uncultured eukaryote. Its description in RNAcentral is "partial 18S ribosomal RNA". It matches the Rfam family "Eukaryotic small subunit ribosomal RNA", at positions 1470 to 1796 of the family's 1831-position model. The record is from RNAcentral.